This 20-nucleotide microRNA is filed under the name Bos taurus (domestic cattle). RNAcentral describes it as "bta-miR-2454-3p". Lineage: Eukaryota; Metazoa; Chordata; Mammalia; Artiodactyla; Bovidae. The record is from miRBase by way of RNAcentral.
UCUCCUCUGGCCGCUCUCCU